Molecule: ribosomal RNA, 252 nt
Filed under: uncultured bacterium
Lineage: Bacteria
Description: partial 16S ribosomal RNA
Rfam family: Bacterial small subunit ribosomal RNA
Source: RNAcentral
UACGGAGGAUGCGAGCGUUAUCCGGAUUUAUUGGGUUUAAAGGGUGCGUAGGCGGCCUGCCAGGUCAGCGGUAAAAUUGCGGGGCUCAACCCCGUACAGCCGUUGAAACUGCCGGGCUCGAGUGGGCGAGAAGUAUGCGGAAUGCGUGGUGUAGCGGUGAAAUGCAUAGAUAUCACGCAGAACCCCGAUUGCGAAGGCAGCAUACCGGCGCCCUACUGACGCUGAGGCACGAAAGUGCGGGGAUCAAACAGG